AUUGAACGCUGGCGGCAUGCUUUACACAUGCAAGUCGAACGGUAACAGCACUUCGGUGGCUGACGAGUGGCGAACGGGUGAGUAAUACAUCGGAACGUGCCUAGUAGUGGGGGAUAACUACUCGAAAGAGUAGCUAAUACCGCAUGAGAUCUAAGGAUGAAAGCAGGGGACCUUCGGGCCUUGCGCUACUAGAGCGGCUGAUGGCAGAUUAGGUAGUUGGUGGGAUAAAAGCUUACCAAGCCGACGAUCUGUAGCUGGUCUGAGAGGACGACCAGCCACACUGGGACUGAGACACGGCCCAGACUCCUACGGUAGGCAGCAGUGGGGAAUUUUGGACAAUGGGCGCAAGCCUGAUCCAGCAAUGCCGCGUGCAGGAUGAAGGCCUUCGGGUUGUAAACUGCUUUUGUACGGAACGAAAAGCCCUCUUCUAAUACAGGAGGGUCAUGACGGUACCGUAAGAAUAAGCACCGGCUAACUACGUG
Molecule: ribosomal RNA, 482 nt
Filed under: uncultured bacterium
Lineage: Bacteria
Description: partial 16S ribosomal RNA
Rfam family: Bacterial small subunit ribosomal RNA
Source: RNAcentral